AAUAGAUACCCCGGUAGUCUACGCCGUAAACGAUGCGCACCAGGUUCGAAGGUCUCUGACGAUCCUCGAGCCGAAACAAAAGCGAUAAGUGCGCCGCCUGGGGAGUACGGCCGCAAGGCUAAAACUCAAAGGAAUUGACGGGGGCUCACACAAGCGGUGGAGCAUGUGGAUCAAUUCGAAGCAACGCGAAGAACCUUACCUGGGUUUGACAUGUACGGAUGCCCUCGCCGAAAGGUGAGUAAGCUGCCUUCGGGCGAAACGUAUACAGGUGCUGCAUGGCUGUCGUCAGCUCGUGCUGUGAAGUGUCGGGUUAAGUCCCUUAACGAGCGAAACCCUUAUCGCUAGUUGCCAGCGGGUCAUGCCGGGAACUCUAGUGAGACUGCCGGCGUCAAGCCGGAGGAAGGCGGGGACGACGUCAAGUCAUCAUGGCCUUUAUGCCCAGGGUGUCACACGUGCUACAAUGGGGUGGCACAGAGCGACGCAAGACCGCAAGGUGGAGCAAAUCGCAGAAAACACCCCGUCAGUUCGG
RNAcentral lists this ribosomal RNA (529 nucleotides) under uncultured bacterium. RNAcentral describes it as "bacterial SSU rRNA". It matches the Rfam family "Bacterial small subunit ribosomal RNA", at positions 777 to 1296 of the family's 1533-position model. The record is from RNAcentral.